CAAGGGCGACAGAAAGCCCUUCGACAGUUCUUCUUAGGGACUGGAGUUCAUUGGAUUCCUGAGAAGAAGCGAGCUGAGCCCUGUCGGCCAGCUGCCCUUGAAGACGGGCGACUUCGUCGGUCGCCACCCUGAGUCUCCCUUUAUAUUCAUCCACCUGCCUGCGCCAGCCGGCCUGAUGCACGUCAUAGCUCACCUCGGUAUCCUGAAGCUGCUGCUGA
This 218-nucleotide long non-coding RNA is filed under the name Elaeis guineensis (African oil palm). RNAcentral's name for it is "long non-coding RNA (EGUI_LNC059122)". The record is from RNAcentral. Lineage: Eukaryota; Viridiplantae; Streptophyta; Magnoliopsida; Arecales; Arecaceae.